GCAGAAUGUCAGUUUAGUCAGUUAGAACUUUCAAUGCAGAAAUUCAGUGCCAUGCAGUCACGCAGAUCGAGAGCAGCACUUACCUUAAUUGAAAUAUUCUCUGUGAACGAGCAUAUUCAAGGUCUUUCUUCCGAAUAUGGGCAAACAAGACACUGAGUAGAAAGAAUAUGCCACUUAGACCUGAAACCACUUUACUACCCUGACUGUGGACAUCAAUGAACAGCUCUAAAACUUGAAGUGUAAGAAGACUUAACUUACGUUAAAACAAGAUAUGCUUCCAAAUGUAAAGACACAGUCAAAGAGAAGUGAGUUUGUAUCAUGAUUGGAUCCAGGAAUUAAAGAUUUUGGAAAGAAAAAGGAUACUAGUUGAAGAUGAGAAGACAUGGUUUCUGUCUUCCAGGAACUCUCAAUCAAUUGGAAAGACUGCUAUGAAAACAACUUUAUAAUACAAAUUGGGAAAAAAUGUGCUAAAAUAGAAACUAACUCAAUUGGUGUCCCCCUGACUCUGGACAAUAACAGCCUCCACUCAAAAGGAGUGUUUCCUAUGCUCAAGGAGCUCUAAGAUAGGAUAGAAGGGAGAGGAAAUUUGGACAUGAGCGGAGACACCGGGAAUGUACCUACAGAGAAAAGAACAUGUGAAGACUCAGCAAGAAAGACGCCAUCUGCCAGCCAAGGACAAGUCUCAGAAGAAAGAAAACCUGCCAACACCUUGAUCAGGGACUUCUAACCUCUGGAACAGUUUAAGGAAAAUGAGACUCAGCAUGAGAGAGAAAGAGGUUGGAGGUGGACAUACGAAGAAUCAACUGGUUAAAAAUGAAGUGUUUUAAGUCACAGAAGAGCUUUAAACAAUCCAUUUGCCUAAGAACCAUCUGUGUGACAUCAACAAACUUACUUUACCUCUCUGAGUUUUAUUUACCAAAUAUUUAAAAUGUUACUAAUAAAACAUCAUAGAAAUUAAA
Molecule: long non-coding RNA, 959 nt
Organism: Equus asinus (donkey)
Lineage: Eukaryota; Metazoa; Chordata; Mammalia; Perissodactyla; Equidae
Source: Ensembl